UCCGAUGUAGUGAAAUGGCAUCACACGACCUUGCCAAGGUUGAAGCGCGAGUUCGAUUCUCGUCAUCGGGAC
Molecule: transfer RNA, 72 nt
Filed under: Streptomyces phage Tomas
Lineage: Duplodnaviria; Heunggongvirae; Uroviricota; Caudoviricetes; Stanwilliamsviridae
Description: tRNA-Gly
Rfam family: tRNA
About the family: Transfer RNA (tRNA) molecules are approximately 80 nucleotides in length.
Source: RNAcentral